CCUACGGGAGGCAGCAGUGAGGAAUAUUGGACAAUGGGCGCAAGCCUGAUCCAACCAUGCCGCGUGCAGGAAGACGGUCCUAUGGAUUGUAAACUGCUUUUAUACAGGAAGAAACACCUCUACGUGUAGAGACUUGACGGUACUGUAUGAAUAAGCAUCGGCUAACUCCGUGCCAGCAGCCGCGGUAAUACGGAGGAUGCAAGCGUUAUCCGGAAUCAUUGGGUUUAAAGGGUCCGUAGGCGGUUUAAUAAGUCAGUGGUGAAAGCCCAUCGCUCAACGAUGGAACGGCCAUUGAUACUGUUAAACUUGAAUUAUUAGGAAGUAACUAGAAUAUGUAGUGUAGCGGUGAAAUGCUUAGAGAUUACAUGGAAUACCAAUUGCGAAGGCAGGUUACUACUAAUAUAUUGACGCUGAUGGACGAAAGCGUGGGGAGCGAACAGGAUUAGAUACCCUGGUAGUCCACGCCGUAAACGAUGGAUACUAGCUGUUCGGAACAAUCUGAGUGGCUAAGCGAAAGUGAUAAGUAUCCCACCUGGGGAGUACGUUCGCAAGAAUGAAACUCAAAUGAAUUGACGG
This 576-nucleotide ribosomal RNA is filed under the name uncultured bacterium. RNAcentral's name for it is "bacterial SSU rRNA". It matches the Rfam family "Bacterial small subunit ribosomal RNA", at positions 338 to 916 of the family's 1533-position model. The record is from RNAcentral.